AGAGGGUGCAAGCGUUAAUCGGAAUAACUGGGCGUAAAGGGUGCGCAGGUGGAUAGAUAAGUCAGGUGUGAAAUCCCAGAGCUUAACUUUGGAAUUGCGCUUGAAACUGUUUGUCUAGAGUUCUGUAGAGGGUAGUGGAAUUUCCGGUGUAGCGGUGAAAUGCGUAGAGAUCGGAAGGAACACCAGUGGCGAAGGCGACUACCUGGACAGAGACUGACACUGAGGCACGAAAGCGUGGGUAGCGAACAGGAUUAGAUACCCUGGUAGUCCAUGCUGUAAACGAUGAAAACUAACUGUUUGUUUCGAACAUGAGAUGAGUAGUGAAGCUAACGCGUUAAGUUUUCCGCCUGGGGAGUACGGCCGCAAGGCUA
This 371-nucleotide ribosomal RNA is filed under the name uncultured organism. RNAcentral describes it as "partial 16S ribosomal RNA". It matches the Rfam family "Bacterial small subunit ribosomal RNA", at positions 527 to 896 of the family's 1533-position model. The record is from RNAcentral.